Small nuclear RNA from Balaenoptera ricei (Rice's whale), 102 nucleotides. The record is from RefSeq and is a predicted model, not a curated record. NCBI's taxonomy places the organism in Eukaryota, Metazoa, Chordata, Mammalia, Artiodactyla, Balaenopteridae.
GUGCUCGCUUUGGCAGCACAUAUACUAAAAUUGGAAUGAUACAGAGAAGAUUAGCAUGGCCCCUGCACAGGGAUGACACAGAAAUUCGUGAAAUAUUCUUUU